This 494-nucleotide ribosomal RNA is filed under the name uncultured bacterium. Its description in RNAcentral is "partial 16S ribosomal RNA". It matches the Rfam family "Bacterial small subunit ribosomal RNA", at positions 28 to 507 of the family's 1533-position model. The record is from RNAcentral.
GACGAACGCUGGCGGCGUGCUUAACACAUGCAAGUCGAACGGUGAAGCGCCUUCCUUUUUGGUGGGUGUGGAUGAGUGGCGAACGGGUGAGUAACACGUGAGUAACCUGCCCCCUUCUUCUGGAUAACCGCAUGAAAGUGUGGCUAAUACGGGAUAUUCUGGGUCUGUCGCAUGAUGGGUCUGGGAAAGAUAUUGUUUCGGUGGGGGAUGGGCUCGCGGCCUAUCAGCUUGUUGGUGGGGUGAUGGCCUACCAAGGGGGUGACGGGUAGCCGGCCUGAGAGGGUGGACGGUCACACGGGGACUGAGACACGGCCCAGACUCCUACGGGAGGCAGCAGUGGGGAAUAUUGCACAAUGGGCGCAAGCCUGAUGCAGCGACGCCGCGUGAGGGAUGGAGGCCUUCGGGUUGUGAACCUCUUUCGCCAGUGAAGCAGGCCUGCCUCGUUUGUGGGUGGGUUGACGGUAGCUGGAUAAGAAGCGCCGGCUAACUACGUG